Molecule: long non-coding RNA, 2772 nt
Organism: Mus musculus (house mouse)
Lineage: Eukaryota; Metazoa; Chordata; Mammalia; Rodentia; Muridae
Product: predicted gene 10463
Exons: 1
Source: RefSeq, marked validated
GCUUUGAUCCCUGCCUGGCCCUGCUCCGGAACGUGAGCUGGCUUCCCGUGCCUGCCUGGAGAGGAGACCUAGGUUCCACAGCCUAGGCCACCUUUCAGUCCCGUGGCACCAGAGGCAGAGCUGCCGGGACACUGGUCUCCCUUGAUUCAGUGGAUGCUUGAAGUUUGACCUAUCUAAACCCAGUUCAGCGGCGCCUACGUGGGAAGACAUACCUGGGGGCACGCGGUUAAGAAGGGGCUGGAGUAAGAUGCUCAGAACAGGGAUUAAGCCCCAAUGUCUCAAAUCAAAACGAAAACAUACUGUCCCUUGUAAUCCACACAACAAACAUUUGAGGUGUCUCUCAUUUCCAGGUGUCAGUUCAAGAAAGCAAGACCAAGUAACUUGUCCUGGGGAACUGGUCAGUGUUUAAUAACGAGUUGAAAGUAAAACCGCCUCUGACUGAGUCUGCCUACCCGCCUCCACCGCAUUACCUGCCUCCUACCGGAAUGUCUCUCUGGCUUUCUAAGCACAGACUUCAUUUGUUCGUGGCUUUAACUGACAUUUAAAAGUGCCCCUUUUUUCUCUUCUGAGUGAGGGAAAGGAAGAGAGAUGCCGCUGUGGGGAAAUAAAAAGGUAGUCUGGGCUGACUCUUCAUCGCCUCUCUGAGUGUCUGGACCCUCCCGUUUCACUCAUUCCAGUUUCCUUGUUAUCCCAUGCAGCCCAGGUUGCCCUUGAGAGACGUCUUGGAUCUUAGAAUGAUUGUCCCCCUCAGUGACCCACCCAUCAGAGGAAGGUGCGUUUCCUGAAGACCUUUCAAUAUAUGCAACUUCGCUUGUCUCACAACAUCCCCAGGAAGAGCAAGGUCAGCUGUGGACCAGAGUCAGGAUUGCCCAUGCAAAGCCAAAGAAUACAACGACAGCGCAACCUCCUCAGUACGGUCCAACCUGUGGACGUCUGCAGCUGAACGCAAAGCCAUCUCCCGUGCCCUUAAACCCAGUGUUCUUCCAACCUUGACAGUCUACAGAUUCUACUCCUUAGUGAUAACCCUACCUCCCACACUGCUAGGAGGGAUCUGCAGUCAUAACUUUAUAGUAAACAACGCAUUAGAUGAUAUGUUCUGGUUCCUGAAAGCAUUUAUAUUCGAAGCCCGAGUCUUGGUUAGGGUUCUUACUGCUGUGAUGAAACACCGUGACCAAAAGCAGCUUGGGGAAGAAAGGGUUUAUCUGGCUUGCUCUUCACAUCACAGGAAGUGAGGGCAGGAACUCAAGGAGAGCAGGAACCUGGAAGCAGGAGCAGAAGCAGAGGCCGCGGAGGAGAGCUGUUACUAGCUCAUUCCCUGUGACUUACUCAGUCUGCUUUCCUACAUGGUCCAGGACACACUCACGCACCACCCCCAGGCCUGGUGGUGUGGCCCACCAGUGAGCUGGGCCUACCCACAUCAAUCUUAAGUCGAAAGAAUGCAUUCGAGACUUGCCUCCAGGCAAUCUGAUAGAGACAUUUUCUCAAAAGAGGAUGCUCUUCUCAGAUAACUCUUUAAUUUGUGCAGAGUUGCACCCUGCCCCCCGCCACACACACACACACACACACACACACACACACACACACCAGGCCAAACAAAGCAACAACAGGACAACCUGUUUAAUGCAGAAGUGUUUGUGUUUUCUGAGUACCUAUAAAUUUGUCAAGGAGCCACCAGCAAGCAGAUUUCAGCUCAAAUGGUUCAAAGGACAAGGUCUUUGUGGUGACCUCUUUGGGGAGGGUCCUUUGAGAGAGGGUUGGAGAAACGGGGAAUUUAGUAUAUCUAAUGUCUGGCAACAGCUGGAAACAGAGUUGUUAGGGGGCUAUUCAGAGCCACUAAUUCUGAGGAGUGUGUUUGUAUCUGUCAGGUGUGAGGGUCCAGGAAAGGCUGGGAACUGCUUCUCCUCCUAAGGGGCCCACAGGGUAUGGGAGUGGGGUUUUGAGUGAACAAGACAGCUUCCCUCCACCCCCAUGGGCUUACAGCAUCUGCUCCAGGACCCAAAGGGCACUUGCAGCACAUGCGCUCUGAGGUCUAACACUUACGCAUCCCCAACAUACACUGGAAAUAAAUCUACAGUGCAAGCACCGUGGUACACACCUAUAGUCUCCGCCCUUAGGAGGUGAAGGCAGGACAAUCAGGAGUUGAAGGUCAUCCUCAGCCUCAUAGUGAAUUGAAGUCUAGCCUGGGCUACAAGAGAACCUCUCAACAACAACAACAACAACAACAACAACAACAGCAGCAACAACAAUAAAAUCCAGGCAUGGUGACACAUACGUUUAAUCCCAGCACUCAGGAGGCUCUGGCAGGUGGAUCUCUGUGAGCUGGAGACUAGCCUGGUCUACAAAGUGAGUUCAAGCCAGGGCUACACAGGGAAACCCUGCCUUGAAGCGGGAGCGGGGGAGACAAGUUAUAUUUAAAUGAAAUGAAUGUUCUAUCGUAUGGGUUCUGAGGACCGAGCUGGGUCUUCUGGAAAAGUAGCCAGUGCUCUUAACCAUGAGACACCUCUCCAGCCCAAGGGCACCUCACAGCUCUCUGUAACUCCAGCGCCACAGGAUCCAACAUCCUCUUCCGCUCUCUCCUCCUCUGGGGCACUGCACACAUGUGGUGAGCACACAGAAAUGAGGCAAAACUCCCAUCCUCAUGAAAUAGUAAGUAAAAUGUUCAUCUGGUGGACAGUAGAGGUACCUGUGUGCACAAAACAACCCUUCUGGUUGCGGAAUUUUAUACACUCUGCUGAGUUGCAUUACCCUCAAUAAAAUCAAACUAAUAACUAA